This 1201-nucleotide long non-coding RNA is filed under the name Homo sapiens (human). RNAcentral's name for it is "HSALNT0384614". Lineage: Eukaryota; Metazoa; Chordata; Mammalia; Primates; Hominidae. The record is from RNAcentral.
CCUCCAUCUGAGACGAGCAUCUUUACCUAUCCCAAGUAGAGAAGUAGUCUGCUUGACUCCUUGGACUCCAGCUCAUUUAGUAGGAUAGAGGGAAAGAUUCAGGAAUGGCAUUGGUGGGGGUAGGGGUGAUGAGCACCAUUAGCAUCUCCUUGGGAAUGACCCAAUUUCUCAGCUUCUGUUUCACCUCCUGGCCCAGCUAGACUUGCUAAUGAGCAGUGAUGCCAACUCACACCUUAUGAAAGUCAGGUCAUUGGGAUGUUCUUUCUUCUGAGAUCAGGGAGAAUUGGAACAUAGAUAUUUGGCCUUAGUCCAGAAGAAGCAACAUCUUAUUGAGGGCAGGAAGAAAGUUAAGUUUAUUUUUGGGGGGCCACUUGGAGAUUGCUUUGUAUAGCACACUGUAAUGAUAGACCCAAUUCUUCAGACCUCCCUCCAUGCAUACUCUUUUCCAUGUGACUUUGCAGUUUCCAUCACAAGAGACAUGGAGUCUCUUUCCCUACCUCUUGAAUUUGGUCUAGCCUUGUGAUUUGUUUUGGCCAAUAGAAUAUGGUAGGAGUGACUAUGUGCCAAUUCUGAGCCUAUAGCUGAAGAACGCUUGUGUGUUUCUUCUUGCUGUUUUGUACCUCUGCCAUUGCCAAGACUACUCUGAUGAAGGAGGAGAGACAUGUGGCAUUCCUCCUUUAAGCUUUGUGUCUUUGUCUGUGACAUGGGAUCAGAGACCCCACCUCUUGGGAGGAUGGUGGGAAGUAACCAUUUGACAAUGUGGUCAGUCUGGCCUUAGCUUAAGAUAUCUUGCCUUUAUCUCCCCUAGAUCUCCCAGACCAUGGUCCUCACCUAACAAGGGUAUCAGUUGUCUGCCUGGUAUGUCACUCCUCCACGUUCAUCUUCUUCUCCCCUUGUUUUGCAUCCUUGGCAAUGAUCUCACUUUAUUGCCACUGACCUUCUUCUUCCUUAUCACUGAUUUUUCUCUCUCCCUCCCACUCCCUCAUCCCUGUCCCUUUCUCUUUUUCUUUCAAACCCAUCUCCUUACCCCUAUGUGAGGUGCAUCCCAGCCUGGAUACCAGCUCAAUGUUGGGGUUGGGACUAGGUGUAUUUAUAAACUAUGAACCAGUGAAAGUUUUAGAGAGAAGAAAACAGAAUUCAAGGCCAAAGCCACGUUUAGGGCAUGACAAACUGAAACUACCUCUGUUCACAUGAAAAGAAC